This 488-nucleotide ribosomal RNA is filed under the name uncultured bacterium. RNAcentral describes it as "bacterial SSU rRNA". It matches the Rfam family "Bacterial small subunit ribosomal RNA", at positions 501 to 985 of the family's 1533-position model. The record is from RNAcentral.
CUACGUGCCAGCAGCCGCGGUAAUACGUAGGGCGCGAGCGUUGUCCGGAAUUAUUGGGCGUAAAGAGCUUGUAGGCGGUUUGUCGCGUCUGCUGUGAAAGGCCGGGGCUUAACCCCGUGUAUUGCAGUGGGUACGGGCAGACUAGAGUGCAGUAGGGGAGACUGGAAUUCCUGGUGUAGCGGUGGAAUGCGCAGAUAUCAGGAGGAACACCGAUGGCGAAGGCAGGUCUCUGGGCUGUAACUGACGCUGAGAAGCGAAAGCAUGGGGAGCGAACAGGAUUAGAUACCCUGGUAGUCCAUGCCGUAAACGUUGGGCACUAGGUGUGGGGGACAUUCCACGUUUUCCGCGCCGUAGCUAACGCAUUAAGUGCCCCGCCUGGGGAGUACGGCCGCAAGGCUAAAACUCAAAGGAAUUGACGGGGGCCCGCACAAGCGGUGGAGCAUGUGGUUUAAUUCGAUGCAACGCGAAGAACCUUACCUACUCUUGAC